GACGAACGCUGGCGGCGUGCUUAACACAUGCAAGUCGAGCGGUAAGGCCCUUUCGGGGGUACACGAGCGGCGAACGGGUGAGUAACACGUGGGUGACCUGCCCCUGACUCUGGGAUAACCCCGGGAAACCGGAGCUAAUACCGGAUACUCUCGGCCAACCACAUGGUCGGCCGAGGAAAGAUCUGUCGGUCGGGGAUGGGCCCGCGGCCUAUCAGCUUGUUGGUGGGGUAACGGCCUACCAAGGCGACGACGGGUAGCUGGUCUGAGAGGACGACCAGCCACACUGGAACUGAGAUACGGUCCAGACUCCUACGGGAGGCAGCAGUGGGGAAUAUUGCACAAUGGGCGAAAGCCUGAUGCAGCGACGCCGCGUGAGGGAUGACGGCCCUCGGGUUGUAAACCUCUUUCGGCAGGGACGAAGCGCAAGUGACGGUACCUGCAGAAGAAGU
This 449-nucleotide ribosomal RNA is filed under the name uncultured bacterium. Its description in RNAcentral is "bacterial SSU rRNA". It matches the Rfam family "Bacterial small subunit ribosomal RNA", at positions 28 to 491 of the family's 1533-position model. The record is from RNAcentral.